UGGGGAAUAUUGGACAAUGGGCGCAAGCCUGAUCCAGCCAUGCCGCGUGAGUGAUGAAGGCCUUAGGGUUGUAAAGCUCUUUCACUCGCGACGAUAAUGACGGUAGCGAGAGAAGAAGCCCCGGCUAACUUCGUGCCAGCAGCCGCGGUAAUACGAAGGGGGCUAGCGUUGCUCGGAAUCACUGGGCGUAAAGCGCACGUAGGCGGAUCUUUAAGUCAGGGGUGAAAUCCCAAGGCUCAACCUUGGAACUGCCUUUGAUACUGGGGAUCUCGAGUCCGGAAGAGGUUGGUGGAACUGCGAGUGUAGAGGUGAAAUUCGUAGAUAUUCGCAAGAACACCAGUGGCGAAGGCGGCCAACUGGUCCGGUACUGACGCUGAGGUGCGAAAGCGUGGGGAGCAAACAG
This 403-nucleotide ribosomal RNA is filed under the name uncultured bacterium. Its description in RNAcentral is "bacterial SSU rRNA". It matches the Rfam family "Bacterial small subunit ribosomal RNA", at positions 355 to 775 of the family's 1533-position model. The record is from RNAcentral.